Molecule: long non-coding RNA, 1937 nt
Organism: Macaca fascicularis (crab-eating macaque)
Lineage: Eukaryota; Metazoa; Chordata; Mammalia; Primates; Cercopithecidae
Source: Ensembl
GAGCCGUUAGGCCUCCCAGGUCCUUAGGUUCAGGGUUGCCCUCAGGACCCCUUCCCAUAUCCUCCAUUCUCCACCCUGAGUUCCUACCCAGGCUGCCUGGCCAGGGCCACUGCCUGCUCAGCAUGCAGGAGGCUGCCCUGCAGGGAGCCCCAGCUCUGGGGCUUGGGGGUGAGGGUCAGCCCUGGACAGACCUCUGCCCAGGGAACUGCUCCAUGGGGUCUGGGAGAGCAGCCAUCCCUGGCUGGCACCAUAGACCCACACAAGGAGCCUGCACAGCAAGCCAGCAGUGACACACCUGCAGGUGUCACGCAUGGCACUGGGCACAACAGGGACCUGGCAGGAGAAACAGACCACAGAGAGGUCUGGAGUUGAGGCUGUCAUCAGCAAAGCCCCUGGUCCCACGCAGCUCUGCCCUGGAGCCACCUCUUUGACCCUUUACCCACCCCGAGACCAGAACCUACAGCCCCUCUACAGAUCUUCUCUGGCCACUGCAGCCCCUCUACAGAUCUCCUCUGGCCACUGCAGCCCCUCUACAGAUCUCCUCUGGCCACUGCAGCCCCCCUACAGAUCUCCUCUGGCCACUGCAGCCCCCCUACAGAUCUCCUCUGGCCACUGCAGCCCCCCUACAGAUCUCCUCUGGCCACUGCAGCCCCUCUACAGAUAUCCUCUGGCCACUGCAGCCCCUCCAACGGGCUUUUUCUCUCCUGCAUUCCCUGGCCUGGAGGGGUCAGGGCCCCCACAUCCUCUCUGCUCCUCAGAUUCACACCCCCUCCAUGUUACCUCCCGCACCUCCUCCCUGGGGCAGCUGCUCCCUGGGCCUCUGAGGAUGUCAGCUCCUGGCUCCCUGCCUCUCUCCCACUGCACUCCUGGCUCAGUCUUAGAGGUUUCUAUGCCCCCAUAGAUUCUACCCCUGCCUUCCUGGCCUCUUGAUUCUUGGCUUGCCUCUCCUCCAAUUCCAAACUUAGUGAAAUGGCCUUAAACAUUUUAAAUUGUAUGUAUAAAUUUAGCACAAUCAUGCCUUUUUAAAAGCAUUUCAAAUGUCAAACCAGGAAGGCACACCACUGUAUUAGUUCUAUACUGCUGCUGUAAAAUUUACCACAAACUUAGUGGCUUAGAACAACACAAAUGUAUUGCAAUUCUGUAGGCUGGAAGUCUGACUACAGGUCUCACUGGACUAGAAUCAAGGCUGGCAGGCUGCCUUCCUUCCUGGAGGUUCUAGGGGAGACUCUGUCUCCUGCUUCUUCAGGCUGCUGGCAGAAUCCACAUCCUUUCAGUGGCAGGGCCAAGGUCCCUACUUUCUUGCUGGCUGUAAACUAAGGCCACUUCCAGCUUGUAGAGGCUGCCUACAUUCCUUGGCUCUUGGCCUCCUCCUCCAUCUUCAAAGCUAGCAGUUUCAGUCUGUAUCACGAAACAUUUCUCUGGUUCUCUGCAGACAGGAAAGGUUGUCCCUAAGGACUCAUGAGAUUAGGUUGGGCCCAGCCAGAUAAUACAGGAUAAUCUCCCUCCUCAAGGUUUUUAAUAUUAAACACAUCUGCAGGACACAUUUUGCCAUGUAAACUAACAUUCACUGGUUCCAGGGAUUAAGGAAGGAAACUCUUUUGUUGGGGAAGGGUGGCAUUCUGCUGACCACAGCACCCCAACCAAAAGCCAAAAACCAAAGCAAGACUUACUAAUGCAUAUCAAAUAAAUUAAAUGUGCAAAAUAGUGAAUCUCAGUUAUCUUAAAUAUUCCAAUACUAUUUACAAAAUUAUUCUAAUGCUCACACCUUCCAACUCAAAAUUAGUAAUCUAAAAUAAUCUCCAUAUCCUAGAUGGAAACCCUCAUGUGAAACUGUCUGAUUACGCACGGUCCUAAAUGGUUUCAGUGGCAAACACAUAACAUUGUACUACUGAUUAAACUGAACUUAAAAGCAUCAAUACUACCAUUGCUGCACUUAA